Molecule: long non-coding RNA, 500 nt
Organism: Paramormyrops kingsleyae
Lineage: Eukaryota; Metazoa; Chordata; Actinopteri; Osteoglossiformes; Mormyridae
Source: RefSeq, a predicted model, not a curated record
UCAAGUGAAAUCCAGGUCAGUUUAAUUGAAAUGGUAAUUUACAAUUCCUGUCCUAGCUCAGAGUGUCCUCCCUGACAUGGAUUAUCUGGUCACCCUAGUUUAGUAUCACUGUUAUAAUCUCAGUUGAUAGACUUGGCUGUUGUUGCUCUACUUCAUUAUUUGUGACUAUUUUUGAUAGGAUGGAUGAUCUGUUUGUUCCCUCUAGUAUAAAUGCACAUUUACCUUUGAUCUGUAGGAAAAGGUCGCCCUCUGAAUCUGACUGGGGGCUCCAUUGACCUGUCACUCUUCAUGGAGACACAGCUGGGUACAGAUGAGCCUGCUCUCUCCAUCAGGACUCUGUAGACACCAUUGGCCCACUACCUGCGGAACGGCCACAGGCCGACUGUCAUCAGUGAUAUGAAGCCAGGACGGAGCCAAACGACCCUUUUUUCGACACCAUCUGCUACAAGCUCUGAAACCUCAAACUCGCCUGAAAUAUCGCGAGACCUUCUCUCAUCGGC